GCACGGGUUGGACGCUGUAGUGAGAUAUAUGGCUACAUGCAAGCAUGCAUGUUAAGCCUUUGUAGAGAAGAAUUUUUUUUGUUAAUCUUUCGAAAUUCGUAACUUUCAAUCCAAAAUUUCGAUUGAGGAAUAGUUUUCGUCUACAUGUUCAGUGAAUCGAGCUCAACAUUCUAAGGUAAAUUUUGAGGAAUUAUUAUUUAGGUUUGAAUAAUUCGUUCAAAUUGGGUUUAUGACUAAUUAGGCUUAAAUCUUCGAUUCAAGCUUGUUCUUGCAUAAUUUGAGGGCUUUGAAGCCUAUUUGAUGACUGGACAACGAUUUCUCAGACAUUAAGGUAAAGAUUUACAUAUGAUCAGAUUUUUGGGAUUUUGUACAAGUUUCAUAUGGAUGAGAUUUAGAAAAAAAAUUGAUGUUUGACUCGAAAUUCAUCAAAUUUAGUCCUUAAAGGACGUUUGUAUGGAAGAAGUGAGUUGUACUAUUGAUGGAUUGUGUUUUGGCUUGAAAGAUAUGUUGAAUUUCUGGGAAAAUAGACCUCAAAGCCACUGGUUUCAUACCAGGGACUGAACUACAAAAAUAGUUUUAGUUUUGGGGUAAUUGUGUAAAUUACUAAAAGUUUGGGGUCCAAAGUGCAAUUAUCAAAAAUUUUGGGAUCUAUUUGAAAUAAUAAAAAGUUCAAAUACAUAAUUUUUAUUCUGGUUAAGUGAAGGUCCCUAUUGGAUAUAGUUGUUGUUAUGGGAAUAAAGUUUAGUCAUUAUAUAUGGACAUAUAGUGGCAUAUUGUAAUUGUUGAACUAGGGACUCCAAUUACUCGUAGUGCUUGCGUUUAAUCGAGGUAUUGGUGAGGAAUAUUGCUUGCUUGGCUUGGAGACCAGGUAGGAGAAUCCUCACUUACCCUAGUUAUGGAAUUUUGUGCAUGUAUGUAUAUGUAAAUAUACGAAUGCCUAUGAAAGCUACAUAGAUUUUGUUGUGAUAGAACCAUAAGGAAAAAUGGUUUUGUUUUAUAUCAUGAUAUACAUGUUUUGUUUUAUGCUACAAAUUAAAGUGAUGACUUGAGAGUGAAGGGGGCAUAGCGACCGCCUUGGGUUUCGAUCCCCUAAACCUCCGGAGGGGAUACUACAAAGGGAUUAGUAUCGCUACCUUUCUAGGAGAGGUACUAGGACAUCUAAGGGUAGAGCAUUAAGGGACACUCUCGCUACAACUUACCAUAAGUAUAUUCGUUCGGAGUUGGUCCAGGUAAGCGAGUAGUUGGUCAUUAGACUGGUCAUCAGGCAUGUAGCAAUUUAUUGGGAUCCCUAUUGUUUUUUUAAAGGAAAUUGUGUGAGCAUAUAACCUAUUUUCAAAACUAAACAAAGCUUUUGUUGUGCAUCAAUCAUUUUCCUAUAGUAUAUAUAGUGUCGUAUACUAUUUUCAAACCUAGCUGGGGUGGAUUCCCUGAGGGGGAACGAUGAACGUUUGUGAUGCUUACCAUUACUUUAUUACAGGUCUGGUGCACCUAUAAGUAGACGAACUGGACAAAAGUCGGGACUAGCGUUGUUUGUUACUUGUCAACUUCUCAGUUGUUCAUAGCCUCAUCGUCUUGAAGGGAUUUUUGUAGCCAAACUCAACGUUUUGCAUUUUCAAAUCGUACUAAAGAGUUGGUUUAGUAUGAUAAUUACCUUAAACUCUUUGGUUUUGUUGUAGAUUGUGAAAUUCUUUUCCUAUGUAAAAAUUUUAUCCAAAUUCAGUUGCCCUUUUAUUCUUCGUUUUACCAAUAUAAUUUCCGCUUCCGUACUGCUCAAAAAUAAAUUAUUUUAUUCCCCUCAAAUAGCCUUACGUUCUAUUAGGAAUGUAGUGCUAUAGUGUUAGAUUUUAACACUAUAGUAUUAAGUUACUAAUAGAGCAUGGCAUUAUUACGUGCCUCUUUUUGGGGCGUGACAGUAUAUGUCUCAACCACAAGGCUUUGAAAGUUCAAUUCAUC
Molecule: long non-coding RNA, 1953 nt
Filed under: Malus domestica (apple)
Lineage: Eukaryota; Viridiplantae; Streptophyta; Magnoliopsida; Rosales; Rosaceae
Description: long non-coding RNA (MDOM_LNC004023)
Source: RNAcentral